AAUAGAUACCCGGGUAGUCCACGCCCUAAACGAUGAUCACUGGACGUCAGCUUCAAUCGCGAAGUUGGUGUCGUAGCUAACGCGUUAAGUGAUCCACCUGGGGAUUACGGUCGCAAGACUAAAACUCAAAGGAAUUGACGGGGGUCCGCACAAGCGGUGGAACAUGUGGUUUAAUUCGACACUACGCGAGGAACCUUACCUAGGCUUGACAUGUAUUUGCCCACUGUAGAAAUACAGUUUUCUGGGUCUUUGAUCCAGACGAAUACACAGGUGCUGCAUGGCUGUCGUCAGCUCGUGUCGUGAGAUGUUCGGUUAAGUCCUCUAACGAGCGCAACUCUCGCUGUCAGUUGCUAUCCUUCGGGAGCACUCUGAUGGGACUGCCUGGGAAACCAGGAGGAAGGUGGGAAUGACGUCAAGUCCUCAUGGCCCUUAUGUCUAGGGCUACACACGUGUUACAAUGGCCGGUACAAAGAGCAGCGAAUCUGUAAGGAUGAGCUAAUCUCAAAAAACCGGUCUAAGUUCGGA
This 525-nucleotide ribosomal RNA is filed under the name uncultured bacterium. Its description in RNAcentral is "bacterial SSU rRNA". It matches the Rfam family "Bacterial small subunit ribosomal RNA", at positions 777 to 1297 of the family's 1533-position model. The record is from RNAcentral.